RNAcentral lists this ribosomal RNA (1254 nucleotides) under Mesorhizobium sp. B2-6-5. RNAcentral's name for it is "partial 23S ribosomal RNA". It matches the Rfam family "Bacterial large subunit ribosomal RNA", at positions 1 to 1221 of the family's 2925-position model. The record is from RNAcentral. Lineage: Bacteria; Pseudomonadati; Pseudomonadota; Alphaproteobacteria; Hyphomicrobiales; Phyllobacteriaceae.
GAUCAAGUGUCUUAAGGGCAAUUGGUGGAUGCCUUGGCAUGCACAGGCGAUGAAGGACGUGAUACGCUGCGAUAAGCUACGGGGAGGUGCGAAUACCCUUUGAUCCGUAGAUUUCCGAAUGGGGAAACCCACCUAAGGUGCUUGGAAAAUCAGAGUAGCAUGAGCGACAAUCUCUUCGAGAUUGCGCUGGUGCUGCUGUGGUUUCCAAGUAUCAGAUAUAGGUAACUUAUCCUGAAUACAUAGGGAUAAAGUGGCGAACGCGGGGAACUGAAACAUCUAAGUACCCGUAGGAAAGGACAUCAACCGAGACUCCGGAAGUAGUGGCGAGCGAACCCGGACCAGGCCAGUGGCGAUUGAGAGACAAGCGGAACCUUCUGGAAAGUAGGGCCAUAGUGGGUGACAGCCCCGUACGCGUAAUGCAAUCAAUCGUCCUCGAGUAAGGCGGGACACGUGAAAUCCUGUCUGAAAUUGGGGGGACCACCCUCCAAGCCUAAGUACUCGUGCAUGACCGAUAGCGAACUAGUACCGUGAGGGAAAGGUGAAAAGCACCCCGACAAGGGGAGUGAAAGAGUACCUGAAACCGAUUGCCUACAAACAGUGGAAGCCCAAGGUUCGUCCUGGGUGACCACGUACCUUUUGUAUAAUGGGUCAGCGACUUAGUGUGACGAGCAAGCUUAAACCGCUAGGUGUAGGCGCAGCGAAAGCGAGUCUGAACAGGGCGUUCAGUUCGUCGCAUUAGACCCGAAACCGAGUGAUCUAGCCAUGAGCAGGUUGAAGGUAAGGUAACACUUACUGGAGGACCGAACCCAUAACUGUUGCAAUAGUUCGGGAUGACUUGUGGCUAGGGGUGAAAGGCCAAUCAAACUCGGAAAUAGCUGGUUCUCCGCGAAAUCUAUUUAGGUAGAGCGUCGACCGAAUACCCCAGGGGGUAGAGCACUGGAUGGGCUAGGGGUCCUCACCGGAUUACCAAACCUAACCAAACUCCGAAUACCUGGGAGUACUAGUCGGCAGACACACGGCGGGUGCUAACGUCCGUCGUGAAAAGGGAAACAACCCUGACCUACAGCUAAGGUCCCCAAGUUAUGGCUAAGUGGGAAAGGAUGUGAGGAUCCCAAAACAACCAGGAUGUUGGCUUAGAAGCAGCCAUCAUUUAAAGAAAGCGUAACAGCUCACUGGUCUAAAUAAGGGUCUUUGCGCCGAAAAUGUAACGGGGCUAAAGCCAUACACCGAAGCUUAGGGUUUGGUCCGCAAGGG